RNAcentral lists this non-coding RNA (32 nucleotides) under Rattus norvegicus (Norway rat). Lineage: Eukaryota; Metazoa; Chordata; Mammalia; Rodentia; Muridae. The record is from RNAcentral.
UGCCAAUAGGAUAUGUGAGACCCAACAUGGUA